This 72-nucleotide transfer RNA is filed under the name Ixodes scapularis (black-legged tick). RNAcentral's name for it is "tRNA-Ser for anticodon GGA". The record is from RNAcentral. Lineage: Eukaryota; Metazoa; Arthropoda; Arachnida; Ixodida; Ixodidae.
UCGUGGUUAGCUCAGUUGGAAGCGCGCUCCACUGGAAAUAGAGAGGUGCCUUGUUCGAUACAAGGACUAGAC